RNAcentral lists this non-coding RNA (163 nucleotides) under Marinomonas spartinae. Its description in RNAcentral is "FMN sequence". It matches the Rfam family "FMN riboswitch aptamer (RFN element)". From Rfam's summary of the family: The RFN element is a highly conserved domain that is found frequently in the 5'-untranslated regions of prokaryotic mRNAs that encode for flavin mononucleotide (FMN) biosynthesis and transport proteins. This element is a metabolite-dependent riboswitch that directly binds FMN in the absence of proteins. The record is from Rfam by way of RNAcentral. Lineage: Bacteria; Pseudomonadati; Pseudomonadota; Gammaproteobacteria; Oceanospirillales; Oceanospirillaceae.
UUUCGUUCUCGGGGCGGGGUGCAAUUCCCCACCGGCGGUAUAGAGAUAAUCUAAGCCCGCGAGCGCUCAGUGUUAGCUAUGUUUAUCAUGCACCACGCUGAGGACAGCAGAUCUGGUGAGACUCCAGAGCCGACGGUAAUAGUCCGGAUGAUAGAGAGCGCGU